GUAUAAAGUGGGAUUGCCAUCGCUCAACGGAUAAAAGCUACCCUGGGGAUAACAGGCUUAUCACUCCCAAGAGUUCACAUCGACGGAGUGGUUUGGCACCUCGAUGUCGGCUCAUCGCAUCCUGGAGCUGUAGCAGGUUCCAAGGGUUGGGCUGUUCGCCCAUUAAAGCGGUACGCGAGCUGGGUUCAGAACGUCGUGAGACAGUUCGGUCCCUAUCCGGCGCAGGCGGAGGAAAUUUGAUAGGAGCUGUCCUUAGUACGAGAGGACCGGGAUGGACGGACCGCUGGUGUAUCUGUUGUACUGCCAAGUGCAUAGCAGAGUAGCCAAGUCUGGAAGGGAUAAACGCUGAAGGCAUCUAAGCGUGAAGCCCCCCUAAAGAUAAGAUUUCCCAUACCAUAAGGUAGUAAGACCCCUUGAAGACGACGAGGUAGAUAGGGCAGAGGUGGAAGUACGGUAACGUAUGGAGCUGACUGUUACUAAUCGGUCGAGGCUUUAACCAAA
RNAcentral lists this ribosomal RNA (501 nucleotides) under Anaerostipes hadrus. RNAcentral describes it as "partial 23S ribosomal RNA". It matches the Rfam family "Bacterial large subunit ribosomal RNA", at positions 2426 to 2925 of the family's 2925-position model. The record is from RNAcentral. Lineage: Bacteria; Bacillati; Bacillota; Clostridia; Lachnospirales; Lachnospiraceae.